This 2927-nucleotide ribosomal RNA is filed under the name Cronobacter malonaticus. Its description in RNAcentral is "23S ribosomal RNA". It matches the Rfam family "Bacterial large subunit ribosomal RNA". Lineage: Bacteria; Pseudomonadati; Pseudomonadota; Gammaproteobacteria; Enterobacterales; Enterobacteriaceae. The record is from RNAcentral. RNAcentral also lists the same sequence under 1 other name.
GGGUUGUGAGGUUAAGCGAACAAGCGUACACGGUGGAUGCCCUGGCAGUCAGAGGCGAUGAAGGACGUGCUAAUCUGCGAAAAGCGCCGGUAAGGUGAUAUGAACCGUUAUAACCGGCGAUGUCCGAAUGGGGAAACCCGGUGCACUUCGGUGCAUCAUCGUUAGCUGAAUACAUAGGCUAACGAAGCGAACCGGGGGAACUGAAACAUCUAAGUACCCCGAGGAAAAGAAAUCAACCGAGAUUCCCCCAGUAGCGGCGAGCGAACGGGGAACAGCCCAGAGCCUGAAUCAGCUUGUGUGUCAGUGGAACGGUCUGGAAAGGCCGGCGAUACAGGGUGACAGCCCCGUACACGAAGGCACACAGGCUGUGAGCUCGAUGAGUAGGGCGGGACACGUGAUAUCCUGUCUGAAGAUGGGGGGACCAUCCUCCAAGGCUAAAUACUCCUGACUGACCGAUAGUGAACCAGUACCGUGAGGGAAAGGCGAAAAGAACCCCGGCGAGGGGAGUGAAACAGAACCUGAAACCGUGUACGUACAAGCAGUGGGAGCCUUCGUAAGAGGGUGACUGCGUACCUUUUGUAUAAUGGGUCAGCGACUUAUAUUCUGUAGCAAGGUUAACCGUAUAGGGGAGCCGAAGGGAAACCGAGUCUUAACCGGGCGUUAAGUUGCAGGGUAUAGACCCGAAACCCGGUGAUCUAGCCAUGGGCAGGUUGAAGGUUGGGUAACACUAACUGGAGGACCGAACCGACUAAUGUUGAAAAAUUAGCGGAUGACCUGUGGCUGGGGGUGAAAGGCCAAUCAAACCGGGAGAUAGCUGGUUCUCCCCGAAAGCUAUUUAGGUAGCGCCUCGUGAACUCAUCUCCGGGGGUAGAGCACUGUUUCGGCUAGGGGGCCAUCCCGGCUUACCAACCCGAUGCAAACUGCGAAUACCGGAGAAUGUUAUCACGGGAGACACACGGCGGGUGCUAACGUCCGUCGUGAAGAGGGAAACAACCCAGACCGCCAGCUAAGGUCCCAAAGUCAUGGUUAAGUGGGAAACGAUGUGGGAAGGCCCAGACAGCCAGGAUGUUGGCUUAGAAGCAGCCAUCAUUUAAAGAAAGCGUAAUAGCUCACUGGUCGAGUCGGCCUGCGCGGAAGAUGUAACGGGGCUAAACCAUGCACCGAAGCUGCGGCAGCGACACUAUGUGUUGUUGGGUAGGGGAGCGUUCUGUAAGCCUGCGAAGGUGUGCUGUGAGGCAUGCUGGAGGUAUCAGAAGUGCGAAUGCUGACAUAAGUAACGAUAAAGCGGGUGAAAAGCCCGCUCGCCGGAAGACCAAGGGUUCCUGUCCAACGUUAAUCGGGGCAGGGUGAGUCGACCCCUAAGGCGAGGCCGAAAGGCGUAGUCGAUGGGAAACAGGUUAAUAUUCCUGUACUUGGUGUUACUGCGAAGGGGGGACGGAGAAGGCUAUGUCAGCCGGGCGACGGUCGUCCCGGUUUAAGCGUGUAGGCUGACUUUCCAGGCAAAUCCGGAAAGUUAAGGCUGAGGCGUGAUGACGAGGCACCACGGUGCUGAAGUGACAAAUGCCCUGCUUCCAGGAAAAGCCUCUAAGCAUCAGGUAACAUCAAAUCGUACCCCAAACCGACACAGGUGGUCAGGUAGAGAAUACCAAGGCGCUUGAGAGAACUCGGGUGAAGGAACUAGGCAAAAUGGUGCCGUAACUUCGGGAGAAGGCACGCUGACAUGUAGGUGAAGCCCCUGCGGGUGGAGCUGAAGUCAGUCGAAGAUACCAGCUGGCUGCAACUGUUUAUUAAAAACACAGCACUGUGCAAACACGAAAGUGGACGUAUACGGUGUGACGCCUGCCCGGUGCCGGAAGGUUAAUUGAUGGGGUUAUCGCAAGAGAAGCUCCUGAUCGAAGCCCCGGUAAACGGCGGCCGUAACUAUAACGGUCCUAAGGUAGCGAAAUUCCUUGUCGGGUAAGUUCCGACCUGCACGAAUGGCGUAAUGAUGGCCAGGCUGUCUCCACCCGAGACUCAGUGAAAUUGAACUCGCUGUGAAGAUGCAGUGUACCCGCGGCAAGACGGAAAGACCCCGUGAACCUUUACUACAGCUUGACACUGAACAUUGAGCCUUGAUGUGUAGGAUAGGUGGGAGGCUUUGAAGCGUGGACGCCAGUCUGCGUGGAGCCAACCUUGAAAUACCACCCUUUAAUGUUUGAUGUUCUAACCUGGCGCCGUGAUCCGGCGUGGGGACAGUGUCUGGUGGGUAGUUUGACUGGGGCGGUCUCCUCCCAAAGUGUAACGGAGGAGCACGAAGGUCAGCUAAUCCUGGUCGGACAUCAGGAGGUUAGUGCAAUGGCAUAAGCUGGCUUGACUGCGAGAGUGACGGCUCGAGCAGGUGCGAAAGCAGGUCAUAGUGAUCCGGUGGUUCUGUAUGGAAGGGCCAUCGCUCAACGGAUAAAAGGUACUCCGGGGAUAACAGGCUGAUACCGCCCAAGAGUUCAUAUCGACGGCGGUGUUUGGCACCUCGAUGUCGGCUCAUCACAUCCUGGGGCUGAAGUAGGUCCCAAGGGUAUGGCUGUUCGCCAUUUAAAGUGGUACGCGAGCUGGGUUUAGAACGUCGUGAGACAGUUCGGUCCCUAUCUGCCGUGGGCGCUGGAGAAUUGAGGGGGGCUGCUCCCAGUACGAGAGGACCGGAGUGGACGCAUCACUGGUGUUCGGGUUGUCAUGCCAAUGGCACUGCCCGGUAGCUAAAUGCGGAAGAGAUAAGUGCUGAAAGCAUCUAAGCACGAAACUUGCCCCGAGAUGAGUUCUCCCUGAGACUAUAAGUCUCCUGAAGGAACGUUGAAGACGACGACGUUGAUAGGCCGGGUGUGUAAGCGCAGCGAUGCGUUGAGCUAACCGGUACUAAUGAACCGUGAGGCUUAACCUUACAACGCCAAAGAAGU